Molecule: long non-coding RNA, 5721 nt
Organism: Neltuma alba
Lineage: Eukaryota; Viridiplantae; Streptophyta; Magnoliopsida; Fabales; Fabaceae
Exons: 2
Source: RefSeq, a predicted model, not a curated record
GGUAAGCGCACUCGGGUGAUCUGACGGCAGGGAAUGGUCAGUCACAUCAACGGCUCUCAGUCCCUCCCAACCCCCCACACCUACGACGGUUCUCCUCCUUUUAUGCGCCCUGCAUAUCCCUCUGCCUUCCCCCAAAAUACCUCACUCCUCACUCCUCACUCCCCACUGCCUUCCUUCCAGAUGAGACCAGAUUGAGAUCCCUCCUUCACUAUUCUCGUAUCAAUUUCCCUUCUCAUCGUCGUUAUCUUCGUCCCACCACCACCUUCACGAGUCGUCUCUUCCCUCUCGGAUUCUCCUGAUCCUUCCUGAAACCUCCCUCCUACGCAGUGUCUUAUCUCAUUUUUCUCAUUUCGGUGCCGCUGAUCGAUGCCCGCCGUUUUGGUGCCCUCUGACGUUUCCGUUUUCCUAUUCCCCAACACGUCAGAGGAUCUGGUCACGUGUCAUCGCCCUUCCCUCUGUACGUUUUGCAUGAGUUUGACUCCCCGGCCUGGAUUAGCUAUCCCAAAGAUGCAUCAGAAUUGAGGGGGGGAGAGAGUCUGCAAAUAUCUUUGAGCCUUUCCCAUCCCUUUUUGUGGCUGUGAAUUUUUCGUCAUUCUCCUUUUUAUUUUUUUUCCCCCAUUCUACUUUUUAUCUGUUAUCGUUCAGUCCUUCUCUUCCUUUUACUCUCUUCGCCCCGCCCCUUUUUCCUGGCUUGCUAGUAGCAAACCCUAAAAUUUCCAAAUAUACGCCGUUUUAAAGCACCGGGGCAGAAAAAUAAGGAUCCUUCCGAUUUCUGCUUUUUGCAUAUUUCGUUGUUUUUCCUGGAAUGGGUAUCUCUAUUUUCAUCAGAUCUGGGCCAAUUAUAGAAGCAUUUGUUCCGUUGAUUUAUCGAAAGUGCUUUAUUUUCUCGAGGUUUCCAAAUUUGGUCAUGCCCUUUUGUAUUUUCUCCUCCCAUGUUGCCUCUUUCUUGGGACAUAGAAAUUGACAGAAGAGAGUGAGCACACAGAGGCACUUGGUAUAGCUGUAUACUGUUGCUUUUGCGUGCUCACUUCUCUUUCUGUCAGCUUCCAGUGCUGGAAAUUAACUUUGUUGCUAUCUGGCUCUGCUUUGUUCCCAUUUCCAAACAUAACCAUUCUUCUCUCUCCCUCUCUCCGGAAUGCAUCGGAGUUGGAAUACCACUGAAGAAGUUGCAUCGUUCAUUAUCCGACAGUGAAAGGCAUUGCCUUCGGUGUUUGUUUGCCUUUAAACCUUUUUCUCCCGGAACUAUUGCAUUUUAUCCUGUUUUUCUCCGAUGGAUUAUAUUAUUAUUAUUAUUUUAUAGCAGCAAUAGUAAUUUAUUAUUAUAUAUUAUCGGUGGAAACCUGAAAGCGUGACUUUUGAUGGUUCCCGCAGUAGCUACCCCUCAGUACUGUGCAGAUUAAGCGGCAAAGAUACUAGCAUGGGACCAUUCAUAUCACAUAGUAUGGUCCUCACUCUUCACGUAUUUACUUCGUCUUUCUUUCGUCCCUCAGGAUUUAUGUCAUCAUCUUCCAGAUUUCACUCCUGUCCAUAUUUUAUAUAAUUCCUGCGCAUGCGAUGUUCACUCGGUAAGUGGUUCGCUUUGGCUGUUUGUUUUCGCCUGAAUCUAUGUCUACGUUCUGACUCCUCUUGACACUUUUAUUUCAAAUGGGCUCUUUUCAAUUCUAGUCGGUAAACCUUACCAUUACACUGUGUAGGUCCCUUUUGCUCAGAUUACCAAUUAAAGUCGUCUAUGUUUGUUUGAGGAUUGAGCUUUAUUUUCUCGGACUCCCUAAUAGUUUGCAAUUGCUGUAUCACUCUUGGAUCUGGUUUUUCAUAAUAUAUAACGUAAUAUUUUACAGAUUUACAAGACAAAUCACACCAGUUGUUCCACACGAUGCGAGAUCUAAUCUGUGAAUAGACAGUGGGAAAAUUGACUAGAUUUGGCAUGUGCAUGAACUGAUGAUACCGAGCCUCCCUCUUUUUACUGAUUCAUAUGCACAUGCAGGUAAACGUAGAAUGGGUCGUUCUUGGAAGACAUCAUCCUUGCUUUCAUAUGCCCUGAAAGCAUAUGAUUUGACUAAGGAUUGUUGGUAACUUGACAUGAAUUUUUUUUUCCCUUGUUUUUUCUGUUUUCACGUUAUCACUGUUGCAUCUUCUCAUCUCCGAUCACCGGUACAUACAAUUGACAGUCAACUAUAUAUACUCACCAAUUCUCAGGACAAUUAUGAUUAUGACACUACUCUUUCCUGAGCAUUAUAAUUACUCUUGAUUUUUCAGUUUCCUGCAAAACCAUGUUUGAGUUGAACUUGUCAGGAUGCGAAUUGACAAGUUUAUAUGGAUCAUGCAGGCUGCAUCAACGUGUCAUUGAAAGGUUAUUAAUUUAACUUGUUCCUUUUUUAACCCCUAUUUCUCUCAUUCCAAAGUCGGGUGUCCUACUAGAGUCGGAUGGUAGAUGUCCUAAAACAUCUGCAAUUUCCUAUCUCUUAGCGUACUUAAUUUGCUUUCCUACAGUUUUCAACAUUUACAGAGAAUUAUUUAAUAAUUAAAUUUAAAUUUAAAUUUCUUUCCCCACGAUUUUGUGUUGACUGAGUUUUGGGGUUGGUUUUCUGUUGCCACAGCCUUAUUAUAAUAUUAUAAGAUGGAGAUGUAUAUAUGCUGCAUAUAGUCUCAUCUCUAAUGUCAUAUUCAUACGGUUUCCGGUUUGGUAAUUAGCCCUAUUUCUCUGUAAAUUAUUUUUUAUUUUUUAAGUAUUUAUUAUGACACUUCGUAUUCAUUUUUUCUCAAUAAUAAUCCCAUAUUAAUUUAGAAGCUAUUAUAUCGCCUAUUUUAUCUUCUUCUUAAUUACAGCAUAAGCUUGCAAUGUUUGCUCUUUUAUAAUUCCUUUUUAAAAAUCUCAGUGCCUUAACCUAUCAAAGCAAUCACUUUCACAAACUUGUAAUUUGAUGGUUUUAUUAUACUUAUACGGACUCUCUUCAGAUUUCCGAAUCAGUUAUUGUGAUUGCAACAGAGUGUUUUAGACCUGCCCAUUAUUCUUUCAUCAGAAAAAGGCCAUGCUUUUCGUGAGUGGAGCAUUAAUUUAUACUGGUGCAUGACUCUUUCAAUUUGAAUCAAAAAUAAAGAUUUCAGGUUGCGUAAAUUUUCAUGUAAAUCAUUUCAUGUUAUAUAUUUUAUAAAGGUGGAAUAGUGUAGUUUCCGUGAUGUUGAUGAUUAUCAUUUUCAUGCUUGCAUGCUUGUUUUUGUCUAUACUAUAUGAAUGGAUUAAUACUAAUUUAUGGUUAUCAACUGUACAUGGUCAUCAUCAUUGGUGGUUAGUUGUGAACUUUGCCCUAUUAUCAUCAACAUUCUUCUUAUAUAUGCAAACAAUGCCAAAAAUCAUAUACUGUUUCAGAUGGGAGUAUAGUUCAUGGUGUCUUCCACCGUUCCAUUAAGACAGUGAUUGAUUUGGCUCUUAAUUACCUUUCAAGCCUGUUUAGUUUUGUUCAUGGGAUAUCUUGUUGAUGUGAUGACAUACUUACACGAGAGUUUUUUGCCAAUGAUUAACAUGUUCCAGCCCCGAAAGCACACACUGACGCGCUCUAUCUCUGAAAUUCUUCAUAUUUUAGCAUGAAAGAAGUUUAUGCAUCUAAUAGGUAAUUGCUUGUCUGGUUUAGAUAAGGACAAGGUGUUGGCAGAAAAAUAUACGGAUCAGGUGAUGACCGGUUUAUUAGCAUAUUUUAUGAAAAUCUAUUUUUUCCAUCUUGUUUGAGCCCUCUCUCAUAGUGACUUUACCGUCGAUUUCUUAUGAUGCUUGCUCUUAUUAGUGCAAUGUUUUAUACCUUAAAUAAAUGUAAGCAAGAUUAGCUGGCCUGGCCUGGCUUCUAUUAAACCACACAUGGAUAUACACCUGCAUCUGCAUCUUUUUCACGACCGUUUAAUUAAAAAAUAUACUAAAUCAAUACACAGCACAGCUCUUUUCGAAACAUGGUGCUUUCUCAUUCAUUAUCAUGAAGACCUGGAGUUUCCGAGUUCCAGUGCUGGUGACAACAAAUUGAUCAAAAGCAGGAAAAAAAAAAAAACUAUAAUGUCUUUCUCUUUCUAUCUUGGCAAUGAUGGCUUUUCCUUCUACAUUUAAUUUGGUCAUUUAAUGUUUAAAAUUAUUUUAAUUUUUUUCUAUCAUGUUUAUGCCUACAUAAAUAUAUUACAAUAAAACUAAAAGAAAUGCCUGCAUAUGACGUACGCUUGGCAGUGAAUGCAUGGAGGCAAUCUCAGUACAGUCAAAUGAGAAACUAAUUUCUCGAAAUUCUGAAGUUCCGUACCUUGAAUUCCCAAUUCCUAAUCCUAACUUAACGCACAAAGCUAUAUUGUAAAAAAGUGUAUCUAUUGAGUUGAUUAACAUUUCAGGAAAGUAGGAAUGGUCAAAUUCAACAAAUGGUUAGUUCUUGGAUUAACUUCUACACCUACGAAAGUAGAAUAUAAGAACGACGUUGAUAUAUUCCUUCAAAGGUGAGACUUCAUGGACGAAUAAAGCUAUAUUACUAAGUGCAUCGAUAUGCCUUGUGAUCCUUCAAUGGCGAUAUUGCAAAUGCUUACAUUGCCGUUGGGCAUUUACAGCCACUACUGCGAUCAGUUACUGUGCACGUUCCUGCAUGGCCGUGUGCUGAAUGUUAUAAUCAACCUUUUCCAGCCUUAAGUUGGAGAAUUGACACCGUAAAUAGCAAUAAAUCACCAAAGUGGAUAAACAGUUGUUAUAUGUAGAAUUUUUACACCACGUUAAAGAUCUUUUUGGGGCUACUCACGCUGAUGCUGCACAGCAGUAGCAUUUUAAUCAAGCCAUCACCAUCAUCAGUCAUCACAUUCACCAUAGCUGUAAUGGUUUAGGUUACUAUUUUUCUCACAAAUAAUUCUCUGCGUCAUUAUCACCUUUACAUCAAUGUCAGUGUCUGGAAAUAAACUUGUCUGUUAUUCAGUUUACUUUUUUUGUUACUUUUUUUUUUAAUUUUUAAUUUUAUGAUUGCAGAAAACUAAAGAGGUGACGGGCGCGAAUCAUUGCAGGCGAAAUAUCUUCAUGAUUGGUAUUUGGAAAUGAAGAGAAGAGAUAUGAAGAUAGAAACAAUGGAUCUAAACCUCGCUAGUUUGCGGAAACACUACGGCCAGGCUGCAGACUCAGUGGAAAAAAUGAUGCAAAAGAGAGUCUGGUUCGUCUUCGCACCUGUGAUGGAAUUAAUGAAAGGAUAUGUUAUUUGACAAGCCAAGGGAGAAAGUUUCAGUCAGCACACAGCACUCAGCACACCUGGACUGAGGAGGUGGCGCCUUGUUUGUGAAUUUGGUAUUCAUUUAACCGUACAUUUGAGAAAGAUGAACAUUUAUGUAUAAUUUUCGGUGAUUAAAUCUUUGUCAAAUUAUAAGACAAGCUGGUCAAGUUCAUAAAACGCAUCUCUUGACAGUACACAUGGCGUUUAAGGAGGUCAUUCGGGAGUGAUCCAAGGGUUCUUGGCCCCUCAGUUACGCUGAGCUUUGGAAUAUUGGGGAAGCUGAAAAUUGCGCCAGUGUCCAAACUUGGUUCAUGUGAAGUUUUCUUCUCUCUCUCUCUCUCUCUGUGGGAUGAUUUAUUCUAUGAGCAACUUAAACCAGAUGCCUGUUAUAUCAUCGCUUGUAAGUUAUCAUUGACUUGAAUGACGACUGAACCACUUCGGUCCGAGAAAGAUAUAUGCUCUUUUUAGUAAGUUAUCAUUGACUUGAUUGAUAUGUACGAGCACUUGUGUA